Molecule: non-coding RNA, 491 nt
Organism: Rattus norvegicus (Norway rat)
Lineage: Eukaryota; Metazoa; Chordata; Mammalia; Rodentia; Muridae
Source: RefSeq, a predicted model, not a curated record
AUUUUAGCUUACAAUUUAAUUAUGGUGCUGUGGUAAUAUUUUAGAAAAUUACUCAGUCUUUUAAUACAUAGACUUUGUGACUACUCUUUUUGUACACUUUAUUCAAAAGGGAUGGAAACUACAGGGGCUAUCACCUUCCCUCCACUCUCUAAAGGACUGACUCAACCUCCUACCUAGGAUGCUUGCCUCUGACCUGUGUUCAUUCACUUUAGAGUCUGUCUACACAGCUUCACUCCUGAAACCAGUGACCUAUGAGGGCAUGCGAUCCUGUGGACCUUGAGUUAGAGGUUGUGAGCAACCUGAUAGGAUGACAGGAACCAAACGGUAGUCUUCUCCAAGAGCGGUAUAUGCCUAAACCAUGGAGUGAUCUCUCCAGACCCUCCUACACUGUACUUUCAGUGUUUUUGAAGAAAGGUUUCUAUUAUAGUGAGUAAAAUCUAUAAAGUAUGUAUUUUUAUUAUUAUUAAAGUCUAGGAUUCUGAGACAAAAAA